Non-coding RNA from Glossina morsitans morsitans, 94 nucleotides. NCBI's taxonomy places the organism in Eukaryota, Metazoa, Arthropoda, Insecta, Diptera, Glossinidae. The record is from Rfam.
CGAUUAUGGAAUUUGGCAAGAUGUCGGAAUAGCUGAAAAUUACAACAAUCUAUUUUACAUAUAACGGCUAUGCCUCAUCUAGUCAAUUGCCAUU